AAAAAGGUGUUAUUAAACACCACUGACUUAUUCAUCUGAAUUAUG
This is a non-coding RNA of Ophiophagus hannah (king cobra), 45 nucleotides long. Lineage: Eukaryota; Metazoa; Chordata; Lepidosauria; Squamata; Elapidae. The record is from Rfam.